Molecule: ribosomal RNA, 731 nt
Filed under: uncultured bacterium
Lineage: Bacteria
Description: bacterial SSU rRNA
Rfam family: Bacterial small subunit ribosomal RNA
Source: RNAcentral
AACAGGAUUAGAUACCCUGGUAGUCCACGCUGUAAACGAUGUCGACUUGGAGGUUGUGCCCUUGAGGCGUGGCUUCCGGAGCUAACGCGUUAAGUCGACCGCCUGGGGAGUACGGCCGCAAGGUUAAAACUCAAAUGAAUUGACGGGGGCCCGCACAAGCGGUGGAGCAUGUGGUUUAAUUCGAUGCAACGCGAAGAACCUUACCUACUCUUGACAUCCAGAGAAUUUGCUAGAGAUAGCUUAGUGCCUUCGGGAACUCUGAGACAGGUGCUGCAUGGCUGUCGUCAGCUCGUGUUGUGAAAUGUUGGGUUAAGUCCCGCAACGAACGCAACCCUUAUCCUUUGUUGCCAGCACGUAAUGGUGGGAACUCAAAGGAGACUGCCGGUGAUAAACCGGAGGAAGGUGGGGAUGACGUCAAGUCAUCAUGGCCCUUACGAGUAGGGCUACACACGUGCUACAAUGGCAUAUACAAAGAGAAGCGAACUCGCGAGAGCAAGCGGACCUCAUAAAGUAUGUCGUAGUCCGGAUUGGAGUCUGCAACUCGACUCCAUGAAGUCGGAAUCGCUAGUAAUCGUAGAUCAGAAUGCUACGGUGAAUACGUUCCCGGGCCUUGUACACACCGCCCGUCACACCAUGGGAGUGGGUUGCAAAAGAAGUAGGUAGCUUAACCUUCGGGAGGGCGCUUACCACUUUGUGAUUCAUGACUGGGGUGAAGUCGUAACAAGGUAACC